UGAUUUUAAGUGGAUUAUUUAAACAAUUUCGACAUAUUGCAUAUUCUAAAGAUUUUAGUAAUAAGCAGAUUAUCUGUAACAAUCACACAUAACAAAAUAAACGAAGAAAACAUUUAGCACGUAUAUCCCUUCCCCCUAGACGAUCCCCAAGUUAUUUCAUAUGUAUAUAUAUAUAUAUAUAUAUAUAUAUAUAUAUAUAUAUAUAUAUAUAUAUAUAUAUAUAUAUAUAUAUAUAUAUAUAUAUAUAUAUAUAUAUAUAUAUAUAUAUAUAUAUAUAUAUAUAUAUAUAUAUAUAUAUAUAUAUAUAUAUAUAUAUAUAUAUAUAUAUAUAUAUAUAUAUAUAUAUAUAUAUAUAUAUAUAUAUAUAUAUAUAUAUAUAUAUAUAUAUAUAUAUAUAUAUAUAUAUAUAUAUAUAUAUAUAUAUAUAUAUAUAUAUAUAUAUAUAUAUAUAUAUAUAUAUAUAUAUAUAUAUAUAUAUAUAUAUAUAUAUAUAUAUAUAUAUAUAUAUAUAUAUAUAUAUAUAUAUAUAUAUAUAUAUAUAUAUAUAUAUAUAUAUAUAUAUAUAUAUAUAUAUAUAUAUAUAUAUAUAUAUAUAUAUAUAUAUAUAUAUAUAUAUAUAUAUAUAUAUAUAUAUAUAUAUAUAUAUAUAUAUAUAUAUAUAUAUAUAUAUAUAUAUAUAUAUAUAUACUAGAGAGUUAUACAAAAUAUUACAAACCGAACAAAACAAAUAGUAACGACAUAAUAUAAUCCAAAAUAAACUAUUAAACAAAAAUAAGUUCUAUCCGGUAUCCCGCCUUAAGCGACUUUUCAUUCUUGAACUUGAGUUCAAAAACCUGUUAAACAGAAUAAUACCAAAACACAAGAUCAUAGCAUAAUAGUAAUAAAUAUUAACAACAAACACACGAGUUUCAAACGAAUCCUAGCAUAUAUAAGAACACACAUUAACAAGGAAGGAAUAAGGAGAUUAACCCGAAUGCUUCCUUUUAUUUGUUUUUGAACACACAACAAUAUUCACAAUUAAUAAUGCGGUACGAAAUUUAAACUAAUGAAGAAGAACUAACCUAGUAUGCAGAAAAUUAUUAUCAGCAAUGAAGUCAGCCUAAUUCGAUACUCGACCCGAACACAGCAAAACCGAAUAGAGAAGCACUUCUUAGAAUGUUCACCGGAUUUUUAUUUUUAGAGCAGAGAGUAUUAUUAUUUUUUACUAUCCUUCAAGUGGGUAAGCAUGAGUUCUCUUCUAUAAGAAUGAGGGCAUCUCUUUUUAUAGUGGAGGAGAGGGCACGAAAAUAGGACAAGAAUAAUUUUAGGACCAAUUAAAAUUAUUUUUCCUUAUUUCAAAAGGAGAGCCAAAUCUGUUUUAUUUUGAAAUUAUUUUUACCAAAUAUAAACAAGUAAAAGAUCUGUCAAUUUUAAUUAAGGUAAAAAGAAUCAGUUAGCAGGAAUUAAUGCAAUCAGAUGAAAUCAAGCAAAAGUGGGACUACCUUAAAGGAAAGAAAAUAAAUACAACCCACAGUAAGUCACAAUAGUGGCAAGCUAUCACAUUAAUAUAUGCCUGCCAUAUACAAUUAAAUACAGAGCUAUUACCACAAUUUGCUCAUAAUGAAGUCAAUAUCAAUUAGCAAUUCCAAUACCUGCCAGAUUUUACUCAUAUGCCAAAAUUAUGCCCCAAGUUAAAAAAUGCAUAUAUUACACGUAUGAGUUCAGCCAUAAAUAAACCAAAUCUCGUGCCAAAGUUUACUACCCACGGUGAAAUAAUCGACAUGCCACAAUUUAACACAAAUGAAAUUAAAUGCAUCAAGAACCUCGUUGAACUAGGAAUGAGUGAACUUACACUAAUAGUUAAUGGCAAAGAAUUAGUCACAAAUAACGAAAGCACAAUUCUAACAGGCCUGGUCACAACAUGUUAGCAAAAUUAUAGUAUCUAAGCAUAAAAUUUGGCAUAUGAAUUUGAGCGAAAUGAAGGACUUGAAAUCUCGAGAAUAGACAGUCUACACAUAUAAUGUUUUAUGACUUAAAAGAAAAUAACAGUAAACAAAGCUCGUACCUGGGACAGAUCUGUAAAGAUCUGUCCUUAUAAAAUAUUUCGCUUUCGGUGUCAUAGCGCCGCUUGUUUGCCGGAGUUGCCAAAGUACGCUGGCCAAAACUGCU
RNAcentral lists this long non-coding RNA (2148 nucleotides) under Solanum tuberosum (potato). Its description in RNAcentral is "long non-coding RNA (STUB_LNC003595)". The record is from RNAcentral. Lineage: Eukaryota; Viridiplantae; Streptophyta; Magnoliopsida; Solanales; Solanaceae.